RNAcentral lists this long non-coding RNA (2205 nucleotides) under Mus musculus (house mouse). RNAcentral describes it as "predicted gene, 31465, transcript variant 3 (Gm31465)". The record is from RNAcentral. Lineage: Eukaryota; Metazoa; Chordata; Mammalia; Rodentia; Muridae.
ACAUAGAGUGAUCCAGACAAUCCUUUAGGGAAAACUUAUUUUUAAAACAAUCUAAAUUCUCAGCAGCUUCAGCUAUUACCACAGAACACUCUAUGGUCUGCUCUCAGUUUGCAGUUCCAUCCUUGCCCUAGCUCUCCUGACUUAUAAAUUUAUGUUUUUGGUACCAGCCUAUCACCAUAAAAUAAAAUAAAAUAAAAUAAAAUAAAAUAAAAUAUAUCACCUUAUUUAUUAAGAUUUCCUUCUCUGUGUCUUCUUGUGUAUUUUCAUUUUAGAAAAUAGCUAAGGAAUCUCUCCUUUUAUAAAUCAUAUUCUCUUCCCCAGGCUAAUAUCUAUAUCUAUAUCAUCUAUAUCUAUAUCUAUAUCUAUAUCUAUAUCUAUAUCUAUCUAUAUCUCUCUGUUCUGUGUGUAUAUUACCUCUCUACAUUUAUAAAUUCACUGUAAUCAUAGAUACAUUCUUGCUUUACUACUAUUACUACUACUACUAUAACUAAUAUUUUGCUAUAUUCCUGUAUAUAUAUUGGAUAUAAUUUUCAUCCACCAAUUUCUCUUGAUGACAGAUACCCUUGGAGCAUGAAAAAAAAAAACUUCUGCUAAUCUUAAAGAGAUUAUGAAUUAUUUCAGUACUGGAAGAGGAAGACCAGGCAGGCACAGCUUCUGGUCCUGCUAUGACAGUACUGUUCUGGGCUUGAGAAUUCUUUGUCUUCCACACUUGGAAAGUGAUUACACCAAAGUCGGAUUCAUUGGAAAUAUAUAAUUUCCUGUCAUGUCUGCAGACCCUGUCAGUAGAGAGAAGUUGAAACGCAUUCCCUGAAUGAAUCAAUGAAGACUAGAAGUGAAAGCCUCAUUAAUGUCUGAGGUUGAAUGCAGCUGGGCUGGCGCAGUCAUAGAAUUUGACUUUUCUUUGCAGUUUCUCAUUAAGCCCACAGAAUUCUUUGUGGGUGUCAUCUGAGCCUGGUGCGUAGGCAGUCACAUGGACAAAGCCUCUAGAGAAGGACCACCUGUCCAGGAAGGACAACAUCACCCACAAUGGGCCUGGUCCUCCACAACAAUCAUUAAUCAAGGUUCAGAGGUUCAGUCCAUUAUCAUCAAGAUGGGAGCAUGGUAGCAUCCAGGCAGGCAUGGUGCAGGAGAAGCUGAGCGAUCUACGUCUUCAUCUGAAAGGGGCUAGGACAAGACUGGCUCCCAAGGGGUUAUGAAGAAAUCUCUUAAUUACAGUGAAGCAGCAAUCAAAAACAGAAAAGAGGACUGGCUCAUUCUUAACAAGAAUCUCAAAUGUACUGGGAACACUCUCAACUGGUAAAAUUCUAUCAAAUGUCAAAGGGAUAUAACCAGAAAAAUGAAGCAAUAUUUCAUGCAGAAAAUUUGCAAAAGAAGUGAAACUGAUUCCAAAGCCAAUGGAAACAUUUGGCUUUUAUGUGCUACAAUGAGAACAAACUGCUCUGCUCUUGUUAGCUUAAAGUUUUCAUUAAUCUGUAACUCUCAAAUUUUAUUUUGACUUCAUUUCUGCACAAACCUACGUGUUAAGUUUUAAAGUUAAACAACACAAUUCAAAUGAUUGCAGCUUUCUAUGAGUUUACUUUGUAUAAAUGCUUUUGAAUGUACUUGUGAAUGUUAGAAAUCUACUUUGAAAUAGGUCAUUACUAUGUAAAAGUGCAUAAUAUGUGCAUAUGUACACUGAUGUUUUCCCCUAUUUAUCCAUAUUGUUGUUAUUCAAGAGGAUCAGGAGGAGGUCAGUAUUUGAAGUAUGUACAAAGGUACCAGAGACACAGGAGAAAAAUACUUUAAAAUCCAUGGGAUAAUCAUGUCUCUUACAAAAGUUCUAUGUUUCAAACUCAUUUACAUAUGAGUUAAAAGAAAACAUUAUUUUAUUCAUGUUAGACUUUGAAAGGUCUAACCGCAGGAACAAUUUGUACGAUGGUACAUGAAUGUGUUCACAUUUUGACAAUUUUGCUAGUUUUAAUAACUGACAUUUAGUCCCCUGUUUUCUCACAGAUUAACUUCCUUCAGUUUUAGUCAGGACGGAUCAUCUGGUUUCUCUGUUUCAGUUUCUAUGCCUUUUGAGUUUCUGCUCCUAUUCAUUGAGAACUUUUCUUGUUUGUGGCGUGCAAUCUGCUGUUAAACCAGUACAGCUCAAAGGUAUCACUGUUAGGUUCAGAAGUUGUACCUGCUUCUCCGUAAUAGUAAAUAUGUUGUUGAUUUAAAACA